This 384-nucleotide ribosomal RNA is filed under the name uncultured bacterium. RNAcentral's name for it is "bacterial SSU rRNA". It matches the Rfam family "Bacterial small subunit ribosomal RNA", at positions 27 to 389 of the family's 1533-position model. The record is from RNAcentral.
GGACGAACGCUGGCGGCGUGCUUAACACAUGCAAGUCGAACGGAGAUAUUAAUGAAGCUUGCGAUUUAAUAUCUUAGUGGCGGACGGGUGAGUAACGCGUGAGCAACCUACCCAUAAGAGGGGGAUAACAGUUGGAAACGACUGCUAAUACCGCAUAAGCUGGUUGAGACACAUGUUUUAAUCAGUAAAGAUGGCCUCUGAAUAUGCUAUCACUUAUGGAUGGGCUCGCGUCUGAUUAGCUAGUUGGUGGGGUAACGGCCUACCAAGGCGACGAUCAGUAGCCGGCCUGAGAGGGUGGACGGCCACACUGGGACUGAGACACGGCCCAGACUCCUACGGGAGGCAGCAGUGGGGAAUAUUGCGCAAUGGGGGAAACCCUGACGC